Molecule: ribosomal RNA, 253 nt
Filed under: uncultured bacterium
Lineage: Bacteria
Description: partial 16S ribosomal RNA
Rfam family: Bacterial small subunit ribosomal RNA
Source: RNAcentral
UACAGAGGUCUCAAGCGUUGUUCGGAUUCAUUGGGCGUAAAGGGUGCGUAGGUGGCGCUGUAAGUCGGGUGUGAAAUUUCGGAGCUUAACUCCGAAACUGCAUUCGAUACUGCGGUGCUUGAGGACUGGAGAGGAGACUGGAAUUCAUGGUGUAGCAGUGAAAUGCGUAGAGAUCGGGAGGAACACCCGUGGCGAAGGCGGCCACCUGGGCCGACCCUGACGCUGAGGCGCGAAGGCGUGGGGAGCGAACGGG